GAGUGAAAUGGACGUAUAGCGAAACGAAAAGCUAUAUACAAUUGUCGUAAUACAAGAUGAUAUAGAUCUCCAUAGAGGAAACUCAAUUAUAAAUUUUACCUAGUGAAUUGAAACAUCUUAGUAACUAGAGGAAAAAAAAUCAACCGAGACUCCGUUAGUAGUGGUGAGCGAAAGCGGAAUAGGCCAAAUCAAUAUUUUAAACACAACUCUGUGAAACAUGUAAUCUAUAUUGUUGUAGCAAAUCCAAGUAAUUUGAAAUAACACGCCAUAGAAGGUUAAAGCCCUGUGUAUUUCAUGUAUUUAUGUUAUUAAAAUUUACAGAGAAAGUUUUAAUUUCAUUUAAUAAAUUUCAUUUAUUUUACAUGAACUGUGAAGCAAUAUAUAUAUUGAUAAUAUAGUAUUCUUUUAGAGAUACUAUAUAGUUUGAGUAGAACGAGAACAAACUUGUUUGAAAAUAGGGGGACCACCCUCUAAGCCUAAGUACGCACUCUUGAUCGAUAGUGAACUAGUACCGUGAGGGAAAGGUGAAAAAGAAGUGAAAUAAAUACUGAAACUGGAUGUAUACAAGCACUCAAAGCUUUGUAACUUAUUUAUAUUUAAAUAAGCUGUUUAACAACAACACAGAGUAAUGGGGUACCUUUUGUAUAAUGGGUCAACGAGUAAAUAAAUGAAGCAAGCUUAAGCGACUAAGUGGAGGCGUAGUAAAAACGCUAAUAAAUUAGAUUUAUUUUAUAAAUUUCAUUUAUUUUAACAAGUGUCAUUUAUUUGACCCGAAACCGAGUGAUCUAGUCAUGAACAGGUUGAAAAAAUGCUAACACGUUUUGGAGGACCGAAUUCACGUCUGUGGCAAUAGACGGAAAUGAUUUGUGACUAGGGGUGAAAAGCCAAUCGAACUCGGAGAUAGCUGGUUUUCUGCGAAAUUUAUUUAGGUAAAGUCUAGAAUAUAUAUAACAAGGGGGUAGAGCAACUCGCUGGGUAAGGGUGGCCCAAAGCCUUACUAAAUCCAAGGAAACUCCUAAUACCUUGUUAUACUCUCCUAGAAUCAGACUUUGGGCGCUAAGGUCCAAAGUCGAAAGGGAAACAGCCCAGAUCGAACGCUAAGGUUCCAAAGCGUAUAUUUAGUGGUAAAGGAGGUUAUUGAGCCCAGACAACCAGCAAGUAGGCUUAGAAGCAGCCAUCUUAUAAUGAAAGCGUAGUAGCUCACUGGUCUAUAUAGUUAUACAUUUUUAUUAAUGUAUAGGCUCAAUAGCGCCGAAAAUGUAACGGAGCUCAAGUAUACCACCGAAGCGGCGGCUAUAUAUAGUAAAUCAAAAACUACUAUUUAUAGGGUAGCAGAACGUUCUGUAAGUAGGUUUAUAAUAAAUACGUAAGCAUUUAUUUAUAUAUCAGAAGUGAGAAUGUUGACAUGAGUAACGUAAAAUCAUGUGUGAUUCAUGAUCGCCGAAAAUCCAGUGUUUUCUACAAACUAGAAUUUAAUGUAGAGUUAAUCGGCCCCUAAGUGUUUCUAGCGAUUGCUAUAACAUAAUGGGUACAAGAAUUUAAAAUUUCUUGAUGUAUACUAUAUUACGAAUAGUACCUAUUUUAAAAGAUAAACGGAUUUCUUUUGAAAUAUACCUAUUCCAGGAAAAAAGUAGUAGCUUGUUUCUUUAAUUAGAAAUAAGAUUUAGACACCGUACUUUCCGACACUGGAGGAUGAGUAGAAUAUACUAAGGCGUAGAGAGAACCAUAUUAAAGGAACUCGGCAAAUUGCCUCCGUAACUUCGGGAUAAGGAGGACCAUGUAGAAAUACCUGUUAUAGGUAUUUAAGUGGUGGCACAAAAUAGGGAGUAACGACUGUUUAAUAAAAACACAGGACUCUGCAAAGCGGUAACGCGACGUAUAGGGUCUGACACCUGCCCGGUGCUGGAAACUUAAGUGGAGAGGUUUGAUGCUGUUUUAUUUGCAAAAAUAAAACAAAUUCCAGCUUUUAAAUUAAUGUCCAGUAAACGGCGGCUGUAACUCUAACAGUCCUAAGGUAGCGAAAUUCAUUGCCGGGUAAGUUCCGGCCUGCAUGAAUGGUGUAACGAUUACUCCGCUGUCUCUAAUAUGGUCUCAGUGAAAUUGAAUUCUCCGUGAAGAUGCGGAGUUCCCCAAAGUAGACGGAAAGACCCUAAGCAUCUUUACUGCAACUUUACGUUGAAAAAGGAUAUUGAUUGUAGAGGAUAGGUGGGAGCCUUGAUAAAAAAAGGCAACCUUGAAAUACCACCCUUUCUAUAUUGUUUUUCUAAGCACAGCAACAGCGUAUAGUGGGUAGUUUGACUGGGGCGGUCGUUUUCUAAAAAGUAACGAAAACGUGCGAAGGUAAGCUCAAGCUGGAAGGAAAUCAGCUGUAGAGCGUAAUGGUAUAAGCUUGCCUGACUGUGAGACUUACAAGUCAAACAGAGACGAAAGUCGGCCAUAGUGACCCGGGAGUACUUCGUGGAAAGGCUCUCGCUCAACGGAUCAAAGAUACGCUAGGGAUUCAAAGUUUGUAGUCCCGCUUUGUAGCGAUACAAGGGCAAUAACUGGGUGAAUUGCAAGAAGGCUAAGGUAAAAUAAAACCGAUUGGUUUAAUAUUUACUAUGCUAAUUUGCAGCGAAGUUCUUCGAAUAGGCUCUAAAAAAAAUGUAGAAGAAAACGUUCAACGACUAGAGAAUGAGGAUUUCUUACCAAUAAUUUCUCCACGAGCGCCCAGCAACUUAAAAAAACAAACAUGUUAUAUAAAUCAUUAUGUGGUAAAGUAUUAAAAAAUUAUAAAUUAUGGAUGAUGGAAGUAAAUUAUGUUAUAAUAAGGAUUAUCCUCGUAAAGGGUUUGUCCUUAAUACGCAAGGAUUUAAAACAGCUGAUGUCAUUUUAGCAUCUCAAGAAAUUUUUGUUAAAUUUAAUAUAAUUACAAAAAUAAGAUAAAAUAAAAAUUUCGCAGUAAUUGUUAUACCUGCCAUUCAUCACUAUAAAUUUGUAAACUACAUAAAACCUUAUAUUGUUCCAUCUAUGAUUUAUAAAAUAACACUUUAAAAGUUGAUGACAUAGUCUGAACUAUAUAGAAAUAUAUAGAAGUAAAAUAUAAACAAUUUUACGAUAACACAAUUGAACAGGCUAAUGAUUCCCAAGAGCUCUUAUCGACGGAAUCGUUUGGCACCUCAAAUCGGGGUCUUAUUUUGGCAACAAGAUAAUGCUAUUUGGCUGUAUGCUGGAACAUCCGGGGUAUCUAAAAUCAUAUGCUCAUAAUAAAUUUUAAAGAGCAUAUAAAAGUAUUUUAGUGCGGACAAUCAGCAGGGAAGUUGACUCUAUCGAGUUUAACCCCUCAACGACUACACGCCGAACAUCUUAUUAUAAUAAUGAGAUGAUGAUAUAGUCUGAUCUUUUAGGCGACUAAAAGGCUAUUUUAUUUCUAAAAACAAAGAAUAAAAUAGCAUUGAAUAUUUUCUUGUAUAAUAAAAUACAAGUAGAAGAGUAAAAUUAUGAAAAGGUUAACUAAUACCCAACGUGAAGUUUUGAUUGGUAUACUUUUAGGAGAUGCUAGUUUACAAACAUUUAAUAAUGGUAUUACUUACCGAUUGCGUGUUUUACAAAAAAACCAAGAAUAUUGUAAACAUUUAUAUAAUAUAUUUCAAAAUUUUGUAACAACCCCUCCAAAAUCUAUAACAACAAAAAAGGGAGAAACAAGAUGGUAUUUUAAUACUUUAAUAAAUCCGUGUUUUAGGUUUUAUGGACACCAAUUUUACUGUCAAGAUAGUAAAAAAAAAGUCAUUAAAAAAAUACCAAAGUCGAUUCAUAAAUGGUUAACACCAUGCAGUAUAGCUUAUUGGUUUAUGGAUGAUGGUUUUACAAAAUGGAAAAAACACUCAAAAGCUAUUCGGUUUUGCACUGAUAACUUUUCAAAAAGAGAAGUUCAACUUCUUUGUGAUGUUUUUAUUGAAAAAUAUAAAAUAAAAGCUAAACCACAAAAGCAUAGAAAAAAUCAUUAUCGAGUCUAUAUCUUAGAAGAAUCUGGAUUAGAUUUAAAAAACAUUAUUUUUCCUUUACUUCGAGAUGAAAUGUUAUAUAAAUGUCCAGAAAAAUGGUAUAAUUAAUAUUCAAUUAACAUAUAUGCGAUGUCGACUCGUCACAUCCUCGAGCUGCAGAAGGUUCGAAGGGUUCGGCUGUUCGCCGAUUAAAGUGGUACGUGAGUUGGGUUUAAUACGUCGUAAAGAGUCUUGCGACCUUAAGGAGCAAUCCUUAUGUAAAAAUUGCCUCAUAACGGUGAAGUCCUAAUAGUAGCCUCAUACACUCAUUAGGGGAAUACCGUGGGAAGUCUAUAAUAAAAAUAAAAAAUGAAUAAAGAAAAAGAUAAAAAAGAAGGAUACUAUCAAAUAAAAACAAUAGAUAAACCUUCUCGUGCUAUUAUAACGCAAAGAGUGCAUUCUAUUAUUUUUGGUUCAUUAUUAGGAGAUGGUCAUUGUCGGCCAACUGGAAAUUUGGCUUUUGGUUUUGGUCCUAAAAAUGAAGAAUAUGCGAGAUGGCUCGCUAAGGAAUUAGAAUCUGUUCGAUCUACUACUCCAGUAGCUAAAAGGGCUUAUACUGAUAAGCGGAAUAUGAAAAUAUAUGAAUCUUAUACAUUCGAAACUUAUCGUCUGUUCCAUGAUUAUAGACGCUUAUUUUAUGUACCUCAUAUAGAAAGUGGGGAAGUGGAUGGUAUAGGUAAUCCAUAUUUGGUACCUACUGAUUUAUAUAAAUAUCAAGAGGGGGAAGAAGAAUUUCCUCAUAUUAUAGAUUCUGAUGGAGUUAGGAAAAAAAUUUACUUUGUAAAAAGGGUGCCUCUUAGCUUAAAGAAAAAAUUAGACGUUUUAGCUUUAGCUAUUUGGUAUAUGGACGAUGGAGGUAGAUCCGGAGGAGGUACUAAAAAUUGUGUUUUUAUAACCUUAGAUGGGUUUACUUGGGAAGAAGGUGAUUUUAUACAAUCUGUUAUAAAAGACAAUUUUGGGAUUGAUGGUAGACAUAAUAAAGCUGGAUUUAGUACAAGGUCAAGACGUCGUCAACAUAGACUGACUAUUCCAUUCAAGGAAUAUCCUAAAUUUUAUGAAUUGCUAUAUCCAAUAGUAUCACAAAUACCCUCUAUGAUGAAGAAACUUCCCCCAGUUACUCCAAGAAAAAUACUUGAGCCUAAACCUAUAAAAAGAAGCAAAAAAAUUAUUUUACCUAUUUCACCUGAAGAGUAAUAAUAACUUUUUAUUAUUGUCAUUUUUAAAAUUAUUUUGACCCCGUAACGACUUUAAUUCUAUAUCUAGAAUUAAGAUAUCUUUUCAAAUUAAAGAUAUAACACGGCAACUCUUAUUAUAAUAAUAAGAUGAAGGUAUAGUCUAGACCUUAAGUAAUUAGGGAUUUGUCUAAGCGAUUAGAACUUAUUUCAAACUUUAAUAAAUUUAACACGUUUGGGUACGAGGAGACAGUGUGUAUCCUAUCUUAUUGGGGUGUAAAAAAACUGACAGGACGAUUUCUUUGUACGAGAGGACCGGAAAUCACGAACCUCUUGUGUAUCAGUUGUUAUGCCAAUAGCAUAGCUGAGUAGCUACGUUCGGACUAGAGAACCGCUGAAAGCAUCUCAAGUGGGAAACUAACCUGAAAACAAGUUUUUAGUAUCGUAGAAGACUACUACGUUAAUAGGUGGAAUGUGUAAAAAUAGCAAUAUUCCAAUUUUAUUUCUAGUUUUUAACAAAAAAUAAAAGAGCAAAUCCAUACUAAACUCUAUUUUAAAUAUUAUUU
Molecule: ribosomal RNA, 5760 nt
Filed under: Auxenochlorella protothecoides
Lineage: Eukaryota; Viridiplantae; Chlorophyta; Trebouxiophyceae; Chlorellales; Chlorellaceae
Description: large subunit ribosomal RNA
Rfam family: Bacterial large subunit ribosomal RNA (bases 1-2552)
Source: RNAcentral